CUUACACAUGCAAGUCGAACGGUAACAGGUCUUCGGAUGCUGACGAGUGGCGAACGGGUGAGUAAUACAUCGGAACGUGCCUAGUAGUGGGGGAUAACUACUCGAAAGAGUGGCUAAUACCGCAUGAGAUCUACGGAUGAAAGCAGGGGAUCGCAAGACCUUGUGCUACUANAGCGGCCGAUGGCAGAUUAGGUAGUUGGUGGGAUAAAAGCUUACCAAGCCGACGAUCUGUAGCUGGUCUGAGAGGACGAUCAGCCACACUGGGACUGAGACACGGCCCAGACUCCUACGGGAGGCAGCAGUGGGGAAUUUUGGACAAUGGGCGCAAGCCUGAUCCAGCAAUGCCGCGUGCAGGAUGAAGGCCUUCGGGUUGUAAACUGCUUUUGUACGGAACGAAAAGCCCUGGGUUAAUACCCUGGGGUCAUGACGGUACCGUAAGAAUAAGCACCGGCUAACUACGUGCCAGCAGCCNNGGUAAUAAAAA
This 484-nucleotide ribosomal RNA is filed under the name uncultured bacterium. RNAcentral's name for it is "bacterial SSU rRNA". It matches the Rfam family "Bacterial small subunit ribosomal RNA", at positions 48 to 529 of the family's 1533-position model. The record is from RNAcentral.